RNAcentral lists this ribosomal RNA (497 nucleotides) under uncultured bacterium. RNAcentral describes it as "partial 16S ribosomal RNA". It matches the Rfam family "Bacterial small subunit ribosomal RNA", at positions 28 to 507 of the family's 1533-position model. The record is from RNAcentral.
GAUGAACGCUGGCGGCGUGCCUAAUACAUGCAAGUCGAGCGAACAGACGAGGAGUUUGCUCCUUUGACGUUAGCGGCGGACGGGUGAGUAACACGUGGAUAACCUACCUAUAAGACUGAGAUAACUUCGAGAAACCGGAGCUAAUACCGGAUAACAUGUUGAACCGCAUGGUUCAACAGUGAAAUACGGUCUUGCUGUCACUUAUAGAUGGAUCCGCGCCGGAUUAGCUAUUUGCUAAGGUAACGGCUUACCAAGGCAACGAUGCGUAGCCGACCGGAGAGGGUGAGCGGCCACACGGGAGCUGAGACACGGUCUAGACUCCUGCGAGAGGCAGCAGUAGGGAAUCUUGCACAAUGGGCGAAAGCCUGACGGUGCACCGCAGCGUGAGUCAGGAAGGUCUUCGGAUCGUAAAACUCUGUUAUGAGGGAAGAACAAUUGUGUAAGUACCUAUGCACGUCUUGACGGUACCUAAUCAGAAAGCCACGGCUAACUACGUG